This is a small nuclear RNA of Myotis lucifugus (little brown bat), 107 nucleotides long. The record is from Ensembl. Lineage: Eukaryota; Metazoa; Chordata; Mammalia; Chiroptera; Vespertilionidae.
GUGCUCGCUUUGGCAGCACAUAUACUGAAAUUGGAACAAUACAGAGAAGGUUAGCAUAGCCCCUGCACAAGGAUGGCAUGCAAAUUCAUGAAGCGUCCCAUAUUAAA